AAAAUCUUUUAAGGUUAUUAAUUUCUAAAAACUUGUGUAAUUUACAUUUACUGUUUUAUUAUUUUGCUGUAUUUAUUGUUUAUUUGUUCUUUGAACUUUCAGGACUAUUAAGAAACUUCGUAUAUUUACUGAUGCUGAGAAACAGCCUCAUCCACAUGAGUAAAGUUUUCAGUGGGCUAGCACAAGACACUUGUUCUGAGCUCAGGAAGACUUGUGGAUUGCAGCCAGAUUGUUUGAAUGGGAAAGGUGAGUUAAGUUUUGUUACUAAGGUAAAAUUGUAUAAAGGAAAUUUGUGUUAUUGUUCUGAGCCAGCUUCAUAAAGCUUUGGCCUCCCAGGACACUUUUAAAGGUCUGAAAGUGAAUGCUAUAGAAAAUAGGAAUUGAAAAGGUAGAUUAGAGAGGGAGAUAGAUUAUGUAUGUAGGUUUAGGUUAUAUCCACAGAUUGCAAAGUAUGUCUGAAGGCUUGGAUCAUUCUCAAGGGGGUCUCUUUCACAUUUGAAGUCAGACUGGAAACAAUUAUUUACACUCACUAGAAGGGUUGUUAGGCAAUUUAUACCAUCUUAAUUUGGCCUAUAUUUCUUUCAAAUUUUGUUUAUGACCAUGCCAAGAAAAGGCUGAGAAUGGCUGGUUUAGAUAACAUCAAGACUUUAUAACUAACUACAAGUAAUUUUCUUUACAGUCUUGUCCGGAGGUAACAGUUAUUUACUAUGAGCUUUAGAAUAAGAUGUUGAUUCAGGAAAAAACAACAACCCCAAACCCAAGUGAUGUCCGGAAUCAACAGCUUUCCCGUCAAAGAAAACCAUAGCUGACAUGAUAGACAUGUAUGUCGCUUUCCAGGAUGUUUAUGGAAUUAACAUUCUGAAAGUUCAUUACUUGUGUUCAUAAUGCUAUUGUCAUUUCAAUACAUAUGUCAUUCUCCGUCUCUUCACUGGAUUGCUACACUGUACAUCUGUAUAUAAAUGUGUAGCUACAGUAAAUGUUUUACUCCUGUGUGUUUGAGGUGGAUUGUAAUUCAUGGAACAAUUUUAUAGAAAUUCCAAAAUGCAUAGUGGAUAAUAUCAAAAAGGUACCGCAAACUGUGUGAGCUUUCAAGAUCACAGAUGUUUGUAAGGCAAAAUACUAGAAAUAUAAAUAGGGCAAGAGGAAAGUGGGAAAGCUAUGAACAUAAAUCCUUGUAGUUUGAAGGCUCUGCAAACUUCCAAAGUGGAAUGAUGUGAUACUGUUAGAUUUCACCUGGAGUAGCCCAGGCAUAGAAACUGAGAUUGGAAGUCCAGGUGGUUGGAGUAAUUCCACUUUUGUAACUGCCCAUAGAAUGAUAACACUAAUGGAGUGGUAUAGAACUGGAAUAAAUAAAUGUUUGUAAGUUUUUUUUAAACUCA
Molecule: long non-coding RNA, 1379 nt
Filed under: Pogona vitticeps (central bearded dragon)
Lineage: Eukaryota; Metazoa; Chordata; Lepidosauria; Squamata; Agamidae
Description: lncRNA (ENSPVIG00000024410.1)
Source: RNAcentral